CACCUAUUUCGGGGGAAUUUUUGUUUUUAAUGCCGUCAUCAACUACCUGGAAUUUGAAUCAUUUUGCUUUCCCAUCACCGUGUAACCUUGCCCUUCACUCUGAGGAACGUGUCUCCGAAGAGCUGGCACCCGUCCGUGGUGCAGGUCUCGCGAGAAGGCGACAUCUCUCGCGUUACUUCCUUGUUUCCAGAAUCCUUAGCGCGAAGUGGGAAAACACUCGUUUAGCUUAGCUUUUUAUGAUCACUGCGGUUUCUUCAGUGGAUUCCCUGUUGGUUCUCCGUGAGAAAUGGCGGCUUCAGAACAGCCGCUGCCAAUGUCGAGAGGAUGUCAGAGCUCUGCUUCGCUUUCUCCGCCGCGGGGCGACCGAACCCUUCUAGUGAGGCACCUGCCAGCCGAGCUGACCGCUGAGGAGAAAGAGGACUUACUGAAGUAUUUCGGGGCGCAGUCCGUGCGCGUCCUGUCCGAUAAGGGGCGACUGAAACAUACAGCUUUUGCUACUUUCCCUAAUGAAAAAGCAGCUAUAAAGGCAUUGACAAGACUUCAUCAGCUGAAGCUUUUAGGUCAUACUUUAGUUGUUGAAUUUGCAAAAGAGCAAGAUCAGGUUCAUUCACCAUGUCCUUCUUCAAGCACUGAAAAAAAGAAAAGGUCUGAUGAUACUGUGGAAGAUGAUAAAGAAAAGAAAGAACUUGAUUGUUUAACCAUAGAAAAUGGAAUUGCACCAAACCAUGGGUUGACUUUUCCUCUAAAUUCAUGCCUCAAGUAUAUGUACCCACCACCUUCAAGCACAAUUCUAGCAAACAUAGUAAAUGCUUUGGCAAGUGUGCCUAAGUUCUACGUACAGGUGCUUCAUCUUAUGAAUAAAAUGAAUUUGCCCACACCUUUUGGACCAAUUACUGCAAGGCCUCCCAUGUAUGAGGACUAUAUGCCACUACAUGCUCCUCUUCCACCUGCAUCUCCUCAGCCACCAGAGGAACCUCCUUUGCCAGAUGAGGAUGAGGAAUUAUCUAGUAAAGAAUCAGAAUAUGAAAGCAGUGAUGAUGAAGACCGUCAAAGAAUGACCAAACUAAUGGAACUAGCAAAUCUUCAGCCCAAAAGACCAAAAACAAUAAAGCAGCACCAUGUGAGAAAAAAGAGAAAAAUAAAGGAUAUGUUGAAUAUACCAUCAUCUGCUUCACACGGCAGUUUACAUCCAGUGUUGUUACCUUCGGAUGUAUUUGACCAACCACAACCUGUAGGUAAUAAAAAAAUUGAAUUCCAUAUAUCUACCGACAUGUCAGCUGCAUUUAAGAAAGAUUUAGAGAAAGAACAAAAUUGUGAAGAACAAAAUUGUGACUUACCUGCUUCUGAAGUUGAUGCAUCCAAUAUAGGAUUUGGAAAAAUCUUCCCAAAACCAAAUUUGAGCAUCGCAGAGGAGAUUAAAGAAGACUCUGAUGAAAUGCCAUCAGAAUGCAUUUCUAGAAGGGAGUUGGAAAAGGGCAGAAUUUCUAGAGAAGAAAUGGAAACACUUUCAGUUUUUAGAAGUUAUGAACCUGGUGAACCAAACUGUAGAAUUUAUGUAAAGAAUUUAGCUAAACAAGUUCAAGAAAAGGACCUUAAAUUUAUUUUUGGAAGAUACGUUGACUUUUCGUCAGAAACACAACGCAUAAUGUUUGAUAUACGCUUGAUGAAAGAAGGUCGCAUGAAAGGACAAGCUUUCAUUGGACUUCCAAAUGAAAAAGCAGCAGCAAAAGCAUUAAAGGAAGCUAAUGGAUACAUUCUUUUUGGAAAACCUAUGGUGGUUCAGUUUGCUCGAUCUGCUAGACCAAAACAAGAUUCUAAAGAAGGAAAAAGAAAGUGUUAAAGAUUAGUAAAGAAGCAUUCCUGCGUAAAUACUGCUGUAAUACUGUCAUACAAAGUGUAUCCUUUCUUGUCGUAUCCUUUUUGGGGCAGUGUUUUUUUGAUUUUCCUGCAAGUGUUUUGUCUCUCCCCAACCCAUUGAUCCAGUUUAAGCAGUAAUUUUUUUACAAUGUAUUGAAAUGAAGUAUUUUAAAAAUUACCUGUGUUGAUUGAACAAAUCUUUUAUGUGGUUUUUAGAUUUGUUGCUUAAUUUUCUGUGCUGUCCUUUAGGUUAUGUAGUUUUUCCAGGGAAAGUUAGUGAAUCAGGUCAGCUUUUUACUUGGACAGUGUAUGCAUUUGCUUUAACACAAAUUUCAUUCUUGUUUCUUCUAUUUUGUAUUUUCUAAACCUAAUUCAGUAACAUAUAUGUUUUCUUUUUCAUGAUGUAUCUGGUUUAGGUGUUCUGUAUAUAUAAUGUGUUGUAAAAUUUGAUUGGGUUUUUUUUUCCUAUUAAAAAGUACAUUUGUUAAAAAUUUACAUAACUGGAUUUCAAUGUAAAUUCCAAAUAAGAGUAGCAGACCUUACAUCUGAGGUUUUAUUAUCGAGAUAGCAAGUAGAAGUAUCUUUUUUCCUCUUUAUUUUUCUAAGCAAAGUAAAACAAAAGGAAUAAGAAAAGAGUAACAGAGAGGAGAAUACAUAAUAUUGACUCAGGGUAGCUCAAUAAGUGGAAAGAAAAAUUCUGGUAGGUAUGUAAGAGCAGUGGUUUCCAGACUAGUUGAUAACCAGAACCACCCGAACAGUGGUUCUCAGUUUUGGCUGCAUACUGGAAUGACUUGUGGAACUUUUUAAAAAAAUACUGACUAAAGAAAACUAUAAUAAUAAACUAAAAAAUAUACAGAUGCCUGGGUUUCUCCCCCAGAGUUUUGAUUCAAUGGUCUGGAUUGCAGCAUACAUAUUAGGAUUUUCAGAUUUCCCAAAGUAUUGGUUCUAAUGUGCAACCAAGGUUGAGAACUAUUGAGGAAGGAUUUUUACACAUAAAGAUUCCUGGACUCUGCCCUAGAGCUAAUAAAUCAGAAUCUCUGGAAUUGGGACCAAGAAUCUAAUUUAAAAAGGUCCCUUAGUAGUUCUAAGGACUGACCAGUUUGGAUUCUACUUGUUAGAUUAAAAUGGCAAGGUGGAUCCGAGAUACCAACCUAACCAUCUAAACUUUUAUAAGUAGGAAAAUAAAGCACUGGAGCCUUUACAUUUCUUUCUUGCAAAUCCUGCUAUAAAUAGUACUAUGAAACCAGUGAAAAAUUCUGUUAAUCAUUGUCAUUCUGAGUACAAAAAGUUAGAGAUACUAAAAUUGCUGUCACUUUUUUCUACUGGCACAGUUAAAAUGUUUUAUUUUUUAAUGUUAUAAAUCAGUUUCUGUGUAAGCUGUUUAUUUAGACAAUUAAAAUUUUGUACUGACAUGAUUCACUAAUUUUCUAAAUAUAAAUGUUUUAGCUUUUAGUUAUUAUAAAACUAAACUGUUUUAUAAUCAUGAUUACUUUUAAUGAAUUUCUAUGGUAUUUUAGGUUCCAUUUGAAUUUUUCAUAUCUCUCAAGUGCUUUCCAACUUUGUGGAGACGAAAUUGACCACCUGGACUAUGGAACUAAAUGUGGUAUGCAAACUUCAUUAUGUUUGCCUUCAUUUCUCUAACCUUCACAUGUGACUUAUUAUCCUGAGAAUAAACCUUAUGGGUAAGUCUGAGCUAACAAUUUUUUUCUUCUUAACAUUGGAUAUGUUUUAUUGAAACUUCAAAUAUAAAUUUUCAAAUAUAAAUACUCCCUAAGAAGCACUGCUUUGUUGUUAAGCUAUUACCAAACAUCCUAUUUAAUAUUAUUUAGGAAUUCCCAAGACAUCUUAUUUAGCACAUUAUAGUAACCAUAAGAGCUUUAAAAUAAAAAGAAAUUUCCUCUAUUUAGAGCAAUCCAGAAAAAAUGAGGUGUGGGCAACAGAGCAUUGAUAUUAGUAUCACUAAUUAUGAAUAGCUUCUCUGAGGAGAACCAUUUUAGGAAAACUAUAAUGGGAAGUAGACAUAACAACUAUUUCAAGUUCUUAUUUUUUUGUUUUGUUUUGAUGCCAAAGAUGUCAAGAAUUUGUUUGCAUUGUUUACUUCCCAUGAUAUAAAUAUACUUUAGUUGUUUUAAUUCCUCUGCUGUGAAGUUUAUAACUCUUUAGAUUGACUGAGAUGAAAAUUAAGAUUAAGUGAGAAAACAUAUGACAAUGGCUGAUCCUUGGUAGAAGCUUAUUAUAUGUUUGCAUAUCUCCACCUAUGCUAGGAUGCUAAUAAAGACCCCCAAAUUGUGUUUGCAAGUUGUCCUUUAUUUUAAUAAUAUUUUUAAAUGCUUUGUGAAAAACACUUAUUUGUUACUUAAAGAACAGUUCAGAGAUAACUGAUGAGGCAAUGAGGAAAAGUUGUUUCAAAACUAACAUGUAGACUGCCAGAAGCUCUAAAGAGUUUUAAAAAAAGAGAAGAGAAUGGGGAAAAAAUUGCAGGUAGAAAACAUUGCUUGUCCUUUCUUAUCACCAUCUGUUCCUCUGGGGGAUAAAAAUAUAUCUGAGAUGUAGAAAGUAUUAUUAGAAUUUGGGAAUAGUGGAAUGGAAAGACAGAAUGUCCAAGUAAUGAUAAGUGAAAGUGGGAAGAGAACAUGAGUUUCUAGCAGUUUGAAUAGUACCAGAAGUAAAAAUAGCAAUAAAAUAAUAACAAUAUUACAGCAACCAAAUACAUUGAGCUUUUACUGUAUCCAUGCACUGGGAUAACAGCUUUAUAUGUGUUAAUCCAUUUAAUCAUCAUAACAACUCUAUGAGGUACAUACUACUUUUUCUAGUUUACAGAUAAAUUUAGAGAGGUUACUUUCCAGGAUCACACACCAGAUAAAUGGUAAGGUCAGGAUUUAAACAAUGCUUAGUCUAACUCCUAAGGUCGUAGUCUUAACCAUUACAUUUUAACAUUUGGAACCUUGGGUCAAGUAUGAAGUUCAAAUGUUCUCUUCUCUAACUCUCAACUCUUUAUCACCAUCAGCCGUAUGUCAUCCACUAUUUAGUCAGUCUUCUCUCCUAUUCUGUUUCUAAUAUUCAUGUACAUUCAGUUAGUCUCUUGUCCUCCUUGCAAAUUUUCCUUCCUAUUUGUUUUUGAAUACCUUUCUUUGGUAAUUAAACUCCUCUCCCUAUGUUGAAGGUAACUCUUUAUAUGUUCCCUACUACCUGCCCUAUCAUAUAGACUGCAGAGUUAUAACAUUGGAUUCAACAUGUCUAUUGGUACCUUGUCAACUUUUAAGGGUCCAGCUCUCUAGGCCUGAUAAUCCCACCAGAGUGAAAUGGCCUACACAUACUAGUUGCUUAUGAAUGGUAUCUGUUCCGACUGCUUGGUGUCUGUGCUAAAUUAGUUGUUAAAUCUUUUGUGUGCCAUUUCUGAAGCUAUCAUUUCUUUGUUGAAAGCUUCCAAGUCUCUCUUCUUCUUUCUUCAUAUCUAAUUUUUUUAUAGCCCGAACUCAGUAUAUUCCAUAUUAACUCUUCAGUUUCCCUAAAUCAAUCUGCCUCUAGGUUACACUAUGCAUGAUAAUGCCAUUGUCAUUGUUCCACUCACUAAACUUUAAAUCAUAGAGUCCUCUUUGAUUCUUCCUUUUCUCUAUUCCCCUACAUCUGAUUAGCUACCAUUUCUGUAGAAUUAUCUCCACCAAAUCUAUUGCAUCUCUCCUCUCUAUAUCAAUUCAUUAUUGCUGAAUAACAGUAAUUUAUUAUGUCUCAUAUGUCUAUGGUUCACUAAGUAGUUCUUCUGCUGAUUUAGCUCUGGAACAAUCAUUCAACUAACAGUUAGCUGGUAGGUCAACUCACAUGGUUAGAAUGGCUAGGGCCAAUUAGAUCUCUCCAUGUGGCCUUCCCAGUUAUCAUCACAACACAGUGGUCUCAGAUUUUCAAGAGAUGUACAGAUGCUAAUCAAACUUCUGUUUGUGUUUGUGGCUUGUUUGCUGACAUCCCUCUGGACAAAACAAAUUAUAAACCAAUUCCAUAAUCUAUUUAGGAAGAGAUUCCACAAAAAUAUGGAUACUGUCAAAUGUCAUUCAUUGGGUGGCACUUAUUGUUACAAUUUACCACAGUCUCCUAAUUUUCAUUUUUACUGCUGAAAUCAUAGUUCAGAUUUUCAUCACUACUCUGUUUUACUACUGCACAAGUUUUCGAUUGUUUCUAUCUCAGUUCUCUUUGCCUGCCAAUCCAUCUGCUAUACUACAAAAGCUCCAGUCAUGUUACUUUCCUUUUUAAAAAUAAACAAAUGAAUAAAAACCUUCUAUAACUUCUCAUAGCUAUCAGAAGAAAGUCUGCUUUCUUCUCCCUGACUUUGAGAGGCCCCCAAUAUAACUUUCCUAAGUCCUAUGGCUCCCCUACUUCUAACUCAAUGUUCUACAAAACUAUAUUAACUUCUUGCUAUUGUCCUUGCCUAAUUCCUACAAUUGCUAUAUUUUUUUCUUGCUUAAAAGCCAUUUCACCUUAUCUCUUUUCAUUAAAAUCAAAUCUAUUCUUCAAGUCAAUUUUACCUUCCCGUAUUCCCAUCAGUUACAAAGGAUUUUCCUAUUAGUGAAACCCUAAAGCACUUUACUCAUCUCUCUCUUAAGAUAGUGAUCAUAUCCUUCAUUUUAUUAUUGUUAUUUGUAUUUGUGCAUGGACAUGUCCUUUCUCAGACUUAGUAUGAGAAAGGUGCUACAACAGUGUUGUCCAAUAGAAAUAUAAUGAAAACCACAUAUGUAAUUUUAAAAAAUUUAGUAGCCAUAUUAAAAGAGGUAAAAAGAAACUAGGAAAUUUAAUGUUAAUAAUAAACUUUAUCUAGCCUAAUGUAUCACAAAAUAUUAUCUCAACAUAUAAACAACAUACUAAUUAAUUUUUUACAUUGUUUUUCAUGCUAACUUCAAAAUCUGGAGUGUAUUUUACAUACAUAUCAUAUUUCUGUCCAGAUAAAUCAUAUUUCAAGGGUUCAAUAGCAAAGUGUUGCUUUUGGCUACCAUAUUGGACAUUACAACCUGAGAAUUCUAUGAGAAACAUUGGUGUAGUACAGAGAAUGUUGACUCGUGGUAGGAUGAUUAUCAGAUUUUGGCCUUGUUACUUAUUAUAUGAGCCUGAACAAUUUAUUCAGUCUCUCUUAGCCUUAGUUCCUUUAUGUAUACAAAGUUUUUGCAAGGAUUAGAGUUGACUGUAUUACACAGUUUCUGACAUGGUGUUCAUUUACUUAAAAAAAACCAAUGUGGACAUGACCCAACCUACACCAAUGUCUUGCAAAAUACCUGGAUUUUAGAGUCUGUAUAUUGUAACCAUUUAUUGAUCACAUAAGCCAUUAUGCUAUUUGUUUUGCAAGGAAUAUUAAAUAUGAAGUCUACCUUUAAGAAGAUUGGUCCCAGAAUGAUGGCCAUAUAAAUACUUAUUUUUUACAAUAUAAAUCAAAUAUCACUUAAUAAUACCAUAUAAGUUAAAAAGCUGUCUUACAGAGGAGUCAUUAACUAUUCCUGGGAAUAUCAAGGUAAGCUUCAUCAGACGCUUUUUCAACUGCAUCUGAAAGGAAGAAAAGUUACCAGAUAUUCAUGGGUGAUGGAAGGGAACCAUAGAAAGUUAAAUAAAGUGCAUGAACGUCAUGGAGGAAUAAAAUUCCUUGUAAAAUAUGAAUAAAUUUUAGUUUUGCAAUGGAUAGGUGUUAGGGACUUCAUGUUUGUGUUCCACCCCACCAAAAAUUCAAAUGUUGAUACCCCAACUCCCAAUGGAAUGGUAUUAGUCUAUGGGGCCUUUGAGAAGUAAAUACGUUAAGGUGAAGUCAUGAGAGUGAAGCCCCCCUGAUAGGAUUAAUGUCCUUGUAAGAAGGGAAAGAGACUGAGAUUUUCUUUACUCUACACCAUGUGAGGAUGCAAGAAGAAGGUGGCCAUCUGUGAACGUGGAAGGGGGUUCUCACCAGACAUUGGAUCUUCUGAUAUUUUGGUCUUGGGUUUCCCAGACUCCAGAAAUGUGAGAAAUAAAUAUUUAAUUAUAAGCCAUCCAGCCUAUGGUAUUCUUGUUAUAGCAGCUUGAACUGAAUAAGAAAAUAGGACACAGAAUAUAUUCAUAAAGUAGGACACAGAGUCUAUUCAUAAAGUGGGUGAAUAUGGACCCACUUUGGGUCCUAGAAAGGACCAAAGGAGAGCAUUAGGAUUCAUAGAGUGCUCUUGGUACCCCCUCCAAAAAGCUAGUACUACCUCAUUUUUCAUCAUCUUAAUAAAUGGUAUCACCAAAUAUCUAUUUCUUUAAUAUUUCUCUUUCCCUCAUUCUUCAGCUUGAAUCUAUGUAUAAACCUAUUGCCUUUCUACCUCUGAGAUGUAUUCUGUCAGUGCAGCACUCCAAGCCACUUACUACUUUCCUAGACCACUGAAAAAGCCUAACUGAUCUCCUUGCCUCCACUGUUGUCUUCCUGUAAUCCAGUUUCUUCACAGAAGAGGAAGAAUGAUUUUUUUUAAGUAAAUCAAAAUCUCUUAGCUACCCUUCUUUGAGCCCCAAUGGCUUUCUCUUUCAUUAUGUUCCAAAGGGUGCUACAUGAUCUGGCCUACCUCUCUGACCUAAUCUCGUUUUACUCUCCCCUUGAUCACACAUUAUUUAGAUGCACUGCCUUUAUUUUAUUUUAGUGUCACUGAGUAUUCUAAGCUUUUUUCUACCUGGGCUUUUACUAUUGCACUUUCUUCUAUCUAGGUUGCUCUAUCUUCUAUCUUCAAAUAACGGGCUCCUUCUAAUCCUUCAAAUUCUACCUAAAAAUCACUUUCUCCGGGAUACCUUCCCUGACUAUUCAAGCUAAAAUACCCUGAUGGUGAAGUCAUUUUCUAUUUUAUUACACUGUUAUUUCAUACUAGUUCUUACUGCCAUCUUAAAUUGUUUUAUUAUUAUCAUUAUUUACUCAUGUAUUUUCUUUCCUUUCCAUUAAAAUGUAAGCUGCUCGAGAACAAAAUCUUGUCUGUCUUGUUCAUCACUGUAUCCUGAAUAUCAUCCUUGUGCUUUAGCAAAAGGCAGACACUCAGUUAAUGCUUGUUGAGUGAAUGGAUCUUUUUCCCCACAUGUACUAUAUUCUCUCUAGUAGGAUUUCAUAUAUUAAGAAGGAAAAUGGAUGUGAAUGUAUUAAUCUAGUGUUUUAUCAGGUAUAAGAGAUAUUUGGUUAUAAGAGAUAAGAGGGGAAAAAAAGCCACACUCUAUUGCUAUAGCCAAUGAAUUAAGCAAAGGAUUUGAUAGAGGGGGCAGGGGGAAAGGUCUGUUUCCUCAAUUCAUGAUCGUUCAUCUUCCAAAUAGUUUCUUAAAUCUUAAUGUAGAAACUUCAGUAACUAAAAAUAUUGGUUGUGAUACCAGAACUGAAUUGAAUAUUCUGUUUCUUUUUGAAAUUGAAACAUUGCAGAUGUUUGCAGUAGGUAGUUAAGGCAAUAUUUUGACUGUGAAUUCAGUUGGCUCUAAUUAUUAUUUUCCUUCUAUUAGUGUAGGACUUUAGAAAUAAGAUCUAAUCCUGUUAAAUAAUAAUUGCUUACAGACUUUUUAUAUGUAUAUAUAUAGAUGUGUGUAUAUAUAUAUAAAAUGCAAGAUGUUUAAAAAGGUUAAUAUUCCCUCAAUAAGGAAAACAUUGUUAUAACAUGUCAUUUAGAUCAGCUCUAAUAAGUAACCAACUUGAAAAACUCAGAAAGGCAUAAAAAAACAUGUAUACUUAAAUAAUUAUAAUAUCAUUACAAUCAACAUUUUUUUAUGUUUUAGAAGAUUCUCAUUAACCUUUUUGUCGAAGGCAUUUCUAAGAACUCAGAAAAGCAUGUUGAAAAACAUGUUUGUUGCCAUUAACACCAUUUGCCCAGCUAUGCAUCUCUAAUAUAUGUCUGUAUUUCUUACAUAUGGUGUUUCUAACAAUUAGUUAGGGGUAGCUGAUUUAAUGAUUAUUCCCAUACAAAGUCAUAACACUUGGGUGCUUUUUACAAUAUAAAGGCCCUUUUAUGUUUAAUAAGUUAAAAACUAAAAGACACAAAUUAUGCAGUCUAUAAUAAUUAAUUAUCUGGAGCUCACAGGAAUCUUCUCCUACAUUCUCUAUAUUCUUUUUUUCAUUCUCUUUCCAAUGGCUUUCACAUGAUGAUGUUGUAUGUCUUUGGUUUCCUCUCUUAACCCCUAAUACAAAUGGAUGUUUAUGUAGGGCUCUCAUGACACCAUUUACUCCGAGUUUUCUUCCUGAUCCUCUAGCUAUUCUCCUUCACCUUGACUGUAAAUGUGGAAUUUAUUAACGCUUUCAUCUAGGUCUUCUUAUAAAUUUCAGUUGUUUUAUUUUAAUGAUUGAAUAAGAAAAUAGAAUCCAUAACUUGGAAGCUCUCUCUUCUUUUCACCCACAAAUCUAUCUAUACUUGCCCCUGUCAUUUUCUUCUAUCCUCCUGUUAUGAUGAACAAAGUGCACUUCAUUUUACCAAAGUCCAUUCCCUCCAUUUUUACCUUUGUGAGGACUUUAUUUCUUAAAUUAUCCUUUCUCUUCAGAUUUAACAGUCUUUCUUUUUCUGACAGAUUAGUCCCCUCAGAUUACAUAUAUCACAUUAGAAUCUUUCAACUAAAAUAUCCGUGACCCUCAGUUUUUCCCUACUUAGUCAAACUGCUGAGUUUUCAUCACAUAGUCUCAACAUCCUCAACACUAGUCAUUUUUCCUCUCCUUACUGUUCAGUUUCCAUCAUCACUUUAUUUAAUCUGUUCUUGUCAACAUAAAAUAUUUGUUACUCAUACAAUGUACCUUUUUUAUCCUCAUCUUGCUGUACUUCACGAUAGGAUUCAAUAUGGAAAGACACUCUCACCUCCUCUCUUCCUUUGGCCUCUGUGAUUGUACUCUCUCCUUGUUUUCCUUCUCUCUCACUAAUUGCUCUUUUUCAGAUUUUUUUUAUUGUCUUUGACCUAAGAACUCAUUUGGAUCUAAUUCUCUUUCUUUUCAAUCCUCUCUUUAAAGUGUUUGCCAUCAUUUCCACGGAUUUAAAACACAUACUUUGGCAUGGAGGCCUGCAUCUUGAAAGCAGAUCUUAUCUUGGACUUCAGCCUCACAUUUACAAGAGAUCCUUCACAUCUCUACUUCACUGUUUCACAGACAUCUCCUACUUAACAUAUCCAAACUGUGACCUUCAAUUUGUUUCUUCAAGAAGCCUUUUGGUAUUCCCCACUGCUCUGUUUCACCACUUACUAAGAUACCUGAGGUAUUUCCUUGAUUUUUUUCCCCCUUCUCUUAACAACUUGCCCUACUUCUUCAUAUAAACCUUAGCAUGAUCUAUGAAUUUUUAUCUUCAAACUAUCUCUUAAUUCCUUGCACUUUUUUUCUUGUAUCCUCUUCCACCUCUUCAUCCAGGUCAUCAUUAUGUCUUGCCUGUGUUCCAAAACAACUUUUCUCCUGUUUGUACUGUUUUACUUCCUCAAUUGAUUUUACUACAAACCACAAAAUAAUAUUCAUAGUAUUUAAGUCAAAUUACAAACUCACAUGCCUUACACUAUUACAUUUUUAUUGCAUUUAGACUAAAAUCUCAACUCCUCAUGAUAACCUACAAUACUACACAUUAUCUGGCAUGAACCUAGCCCUUGAACCUCAGCUUUGCUCUUUCCCUUAGCAAUCCCAUACCCUCAGUCAUGAUGGCCUUUCUUCAUUUACUUGAAUGGGCCAUGUUAUUUUUCACCUUGGAGAUUUUUGGGGAUGUUUACCCCCACUUAUUUUGGAAUGCUCCUAACCCAGGUUUUAGUAUGGCUGGCUCCUGUUCUUUAUAAGUGGUCCCAUAACUCAGUGACUGGCAUCACCAGUCAUUCAGUUCUGCAAGCAAGAAAUCUGCUCUCAUCGUUGAAACCCUCUUCUCAUAUGUCACUCAGACCACCAUGCAUUCAGCAUCACAUUCCUAAUUUCCCUUCUAAAUAUUUCUCGACUGAGUUCUUUUCUCUCUCCACUGCCACUAUCUAGCCAUGCUUUUGUUAAAUGACUAAAAUCUCUUAUUUUACCAACAUUAUUACGAAGAAAACACCACAGACUCACAAUUUAAAACCAGACUUUAUUGUUUGUAACAAAUGCAUUGCAGGAUGGAUGCAGGGAGUCCAAACACAAGCCACGGCCUGGGAACACCUCACAGCAGUUUUGUAACACAUCAGAAUUACAUGCUUUCUUUUAGGUAAGAUUGUACACAGAGAACCCUUUUAAGAAUUUCCUGGUUGUUAGCAGGGGAGUAGGAUAACCAUGAUAAUCAGGUAUGUACAUCCGGGAAGGGAAGAUGAACAUUAUGGACUUAAGGCUGCAAACUUCAAAAAGGAUAUUUGAAAGGGAUUCUAUGAUGGGAUAGCAGUAUUUGUACAGGGAGCAUAUGUGUAUAGAGGUUAAAGAGCUUGUCCAGGAGAAUAGAACAUCAAGGACAUCUAUUGAAAUUGUUACUAUUAGCAUAUCAAACUGAUAGAACUUCACGUUCUGUUGACUAUGGAGGGGCUCGCUUCAGCAUCAGCAUCUACCUUAGCCCUUCCUCUAAUCAUUCCAUUGUCUACUGUGCAUCCAGAAUGGUCUUCUCAAAUCAGAAAACCACCACCAGCACCACCACCUUUCCCAAACCCUGUCAAUGGAUUACCACUUACCUUAGAAUAAAAGGCCAAAAUUCUUAGCAGGGCUAUUAGAGUUUUCUGCAUCUGAAGCCUCAUCUCCCAAACUCUCCUCUUCAACUUUUUUUUUUUUUUUUUU
Molecule: RNA transcript, 12535 nt
Organism: Delphinapterus leucas (beluga whale)
Lineage: Eukaryota; Metazoa; Chordata; Mammalia; Artiodactyla; Monodontidae
Gene: RNPC3
Gene name: RNA binding region (RNP1, RRM) containing 3
Source: RefSeq, a predicted model, not a curated record